AUGCUUGCUUUGGCAGCACAUAUAUUCUAAAAUCAGAGCUAUACAGAGAAGAUUAACAUGGCCCCUGCACGAGGGUAAUAUGCAAACUUGUUAAGCAUUCCAUAUUUUU
This is a small nuclear RNA of Microcebus murinus (gray mouse lemur), 109 nucleotides long. The record is from Ensembl. Lineage: Eukaryota; Metazoa; Chordata; Mammalia; Primates; Cheirogaleidae.